RNAcentral lists this ribosomal RNA (353 nucleotides) under uncultured eukaryote. RNAcentral's name for it is "LSU rRNA". It matches the Rfam family "Bacterial large subunit ribosomal RNA", at positions 2128 to 2479 of the family's 2925-position model. The record is from RNAcentral.
UGUGGCCUGUGUAGGAUAGGUGGGAGGCAAAGAAGCCGAGGCGCCAGCUUCGGUGGAGCCGUCCUUGAAAUACCACCCUGGCCCCAUCGAGGUUCUAACCGCGGUGGGUGCAUCCCCACCCGGGACCGUGCAUGGCAGGCAGUUUGACUGGGGCGGUCUCCUCCCAAAAGGUAACGGAGGAGCACGAAGGUACGCUUGGCGCGGUCGGAAAUCGCGCUGUACGUGCAAGGGCAUAAGCGUGCUUGACUGCAAGGCCCACAAGCCGAGCAGGUGCGAAAGCAGGUCCUAGUGAUCCGGUGGUCCCGCAUGGAAGGGCCAUCGCUCAACGGAUAAAAGGUACUCUAGGGAUAACA